CUAAGCUUAAUGAUGAUAAUUCUUUUGACUGAAUUUAAUGAAGAUAUUAUUAAUUCGAAAUUAGUCUUUCACCCCUAUCUGAACGCUUUU
RNAcentral lists this small nucleolar RNA (90 nucleotides) under Clavispora lusitaniae ATCC 42720. RNAcentral's name for it is "Small nucleolar RNA snR60/Z15/Z230/Z193/J17". It matches the Rfam family "Small nucleolar RNA snR60/Z15/Z230/Z193/J17". Rfam says of the family: The members of this family belong to the C/D class of snoRNAs which contain the C (UGAUGA) and D (CUGA) box motifs. Most of the members of the box C/D family function in directing site-specific 2'-O-methylation of substrate RNAs. Lineage: Eukaryota; Fungi; Ascomycota; Pichiomycetes; Serinales; Metschnikowiaceae. The record is from Rfam by way of RNAcentral.